RNAcentral lists this non-coding RNA (48 nucleotides) under Trichobilharzia regenti. The record is from RNAcentral. Lineage: Eukaryota; Metazoa; Platyhelminthes; Trematoda; Strigeidida; Schistosomatidae.
AUCCAGAUGUCCAGUCCCAAAUAGGACGAAAUGCGCGUUAUCCUGGAU